AGGCGGGGCGCGGGCGGGUCGGACCGCGGCAGACGCGGCUGGCAAGAUGCGAGUCUGGUGCUGUGCACCCCGCUCCGAUUCGCCGGGGCAAGGGACACCGGGAGGACACGGGGUACAGAGCCUCGGCCGAACCGACCGGAACCCGAGUCCGCCUACCGCUCCACCGCCCCGGGGACCUCAGACGGGACGGGCACCGCUGAGGACCGCGGGACCCCGCCGUCCGCUGCGUCACCUCGGACGCGGGCAAAACUUCGGAGCUUCACUUAUCGCAACUGCAGCCUCAACACAACAGCCUGCAGGGGGCUGAAGUGACACGGCGGCCGCACUCGGGACCGCUUGGGCCGACUGUCGCCCUCAGCGGCGAGACCGCCAGGCGCGGGAGGGGGGAAUCCGGGAGGCGCCGGCCUGCGAGCCCACUGUGACCCCGGGAGCUGCUAGCGACCGCCGACCCUUGGGAGGAACUUUUCCCACUUUCGGUGCGUGAGAGGCCGCCGCAGCUCCUGCUCCCUUAGCCCCUUUUCUGAGGAAACCCGCGCAGCGUAAUCCUGACCGGGCUGCGGAGAGGGCGAGCAGAUAGACUUGCGCUCUCCCGCAGCGCAUGCUCCGUGGUUUGGGUUUGGGCGGGUUCCCAGGGCGGAGAGGCUGGUUUAAGUGGGCCUCCGCUGUUUGGUCGGGCUGUUCAGAGCACGCCCACCGCAUUCUGAUGGACAGCUUCUUACCUGCGGGGUGGCUUCCACGGUGCUCAGUGGCCUUAAAAAGCUAAUCUUAGGUAAUUCCAGGCAGCACCUCUGGCCCAGAUACCCUAAGGCUCUGAAUCUGACGACCCGGCAGUGGCAAAGACAGCCCCAUUUCGUCUCACUGGACCAGAAAGCUAAACUCUGGCCUAAAACGUAAUCUUAAAGUGGUGGGGAAAAAUACUUAUCCAGUUGCACAGAGUAGAACACUACCGUUCUGGACUUAAUGGGCAGGUCUGCCUCGUAAUAAGAAGACUGGAGGUUAGGCACGCAGUAAGCCCGCAGUAAAUGCUUGCUGCAUCCGAUUGUUUUCCUAGUGGAUUGAGACCACAGGAUGUGGCACUGAGUGAGCCUGACAGGUUGUAAGAUAAACAAAACAAGGAAUGUGUGAUAAAAACAAUUACACACCAACCCAUUUCCUCUGUGAAAUAAGAGACUGGAGUAGACAUUCCCCAGGCCUCUUCUUAUCUAAGGGUAGAGCUGGGCCACACCACUCAGAGCCAGUGGCAGGUAGAGCAGCUGACAGACCAGGCCUCACCCUGACUGUUGCUGGAAAUUUCUACUAUUUUGUGUGACCAUACACGGCUUCCGUCUACACCACUAAGAUACACUGGAGGAUGUCAGCCCUGGCCUUAUCUGACCUGUUAAAUAAGAAUCUGAACCCUGAAUUAAGGGUUCUCUUUGAACUUCUGACUCCCUCAGAAGUCCUAGACAGCACAAAUUUUUUCCCAGUUCAACCAUAUCUACUUCUGUAGGAGGAAAACAUUAUAGAUUUUUAAUUAAAAACAACAAAUGUAAUCCAGCUCAUGGUAUUCUACAGGGACUCAGUCUGUUUUCUGUUUGGUAUCAGUAUUUCUAUGUGGGUUUGGGCUUGAUAGUAUUACUGACAAAGAAAAGCAACAAUAAGGAAAGCACUCGAGAUUGUGGGGUUUUGUUUUCUUUAUUCUUUCCUUCUUUUUUUGUUUGUUUGGGGUUUUUGUUUGUUUCAUCCAUACCCUACUGCUUCUGAAUUCUGUACCUGCCUGCUGAUUCAUCAUAUUCAAGAAUUGGCAGGUUUUCAUUUAGGAAGCAGAGGAUGAUGUCUAAUGUGCUAAAAGAAGUUAUUGACAGUGUCUAACUAAGUACAAGUUCUGACAGAAAAGGAGGCAUGGAAAUGUGAACUGAGCCCAGGAAGACAGAUUUACCCAGUGUUGAGCCUUUUUUUCUUGGUGAAGAAAUGCAGUAUGUUGAUAACAAAUGGAUCGUUCCUCAUGUUUAACUUUGAGCAACAACUCAGUUUUCACUGUUAUGGGUUGAAUCACGUGCUCUCUCCACCCCUAAAGGUAGGUAUUGAAGUCCUGACCUUAGCACCUAUAAAUGUGGCCUUGUUUGGAAAUAGGACUUUACAGGUAUAAUCAAGUUAAAUGAAAUCAUUCUGAAUUAAGUGGUGUCCAAUAUGAGUGGUGUCCUUGGAAGAAAAAACAAAACAACCAAAACACAGGCAGAGCACCAUGUGAUAACAAAUUCCAGAGUUGGACUAAUGUAUAUACAAGCCAGGGAAUGCCAAGGAGUGCCAGGAACCACAUAAGAGGUGGGAAAAGAUAAGAUAGAAUUGUCCCAGGCUGGGGAUUUAGCUCAGUGGUUCCAGAGCCUGCCUCGAAAGCCCAAGGUCCCAAGUUUGAUCCCUGACGACAACAACAAAAAGAUAGAAUUGUCCCCUAGAGCCCUCAGAAGGAAGAUGGCCCUGGUGACAUCUUGAUUUCAGACUUCUGGCCUCCAGAACUGUGAGAGAAUAAAUUCUGUUGUGUAAGUAAUCCAGCCUGUAGUCCCUCAUUACAGCAGCCCUGGGAAACCAAUAUUCUUACCAAAUGCUGCUUUCUUAACUCCCCACCAGAAUGGACCCAGAAUUCCAUGAGUUCUACUGACAUUGACCUUUUCCUGGAGACAGAGGGUCACACUAUAAAAGAAGGUACAUCAGUUCAGAAGUUCUCCAUGGAAUGAGGCUGAUCUCUAGGUAGGCCAGAUGGAGGGCAUUUAAGGUAUGGCAGAAGAUAUCUGCCUACUUUAGCUCAGGGAGGAAUCUGGUUUUUGUUUUUCCAAAACUACUGGAAGAAAGCUUCCUUCCUGUUGAGAUUGAUACCUGUAAGUAGUGGAGAGAGAAUGUAAAUGUAGUCAGGUUUGAAAACUUGCAUAUAAAUGACUAUACUAUACCCAAAUACUUAUAAUUCAAGCAUUAUCCAUGUUUUAAUGAUAUUCUCUGUCAUUUCCUUUUAAAAUUUGUUUUACAAUUUGCAUAUGUCCUAAUGAAACAUAAUUAAUCUUUUCCACAUAUAACUUGAAAGAACAUAUCUGUUUCUAGCAAAAGUAACCAAUAAAAAGUCGAUGCUCCUGGGGAUUGUGACAUCUAGGAGACUCACUAUUUUGUCCUGGCAUUGACUGAGUUCUUUAAAUAAACAUCUGUUACUUCAUAGUGAAGCAUAGUGAGCAGACAGCCUUGGCUGCUAGUUCUGUCAGGGUCAGCUAGAGCUGUAGAAAGGAUCACAUACUUGCCAGGAAAAGCUGGCAAGGUGAAUGAAUGAAGUAGAAGCAGAAAAGGUUGGCUAUUUCAGGCUGAUAUAGAACAUCCUGGUAGAGCAUUUUUUUCCUAAAGCUUCCUGUUAGGUUGGCAAAGCUUUGCAAGGCCUCCAUCGCUGUUCAGUUUCUCCCUCUGCCACUCCUAGAUCACCUCCUUCCCUUCACAGGUGUUGGUCCUUACAAAACGUCUCCCCUAACUUGCACUCCGAACUGCAUGUCAACAUCUGCUUGUGAGAAUUCACUCUGGAACAACCAAGAAUGUAGCAUAGAGGAUUAAAUAGAAGACAUAGGAAAAGAUUAAAAGAAGUGGAGGAAGAGGAAUGAAAAUAUCAUGUGAAAUUGCAAGAGGAAAUAAAAAGAAAUCCACAGCUAGACACAUCAAAGUGAAACUGUAAAACAAUACAAAGAGAAUCAGAUGAAAUGGAAAGACAGACUACUCACAAAGAUAAAUGACAACAAUAACAAUAAGAGCUAAAAAAAAUGGAAUAAUCCCAAUGUGCCAACAGAAAAUACCUGCGACUAAUGCCAAUGUGCUAACAGAAAAUAUCUGCCAACUGAGAAUUUUAUGCUAACUGAAAUUACUUGUCAAGAAUGAAGGCAAAAUGCAAACAACUGAAAUGAUACCAAGCAGAAAUAGAAAAUCUGAAUAGCCCUAUACCAAGUGGUGAUUGAAUUAGUAUUAUAAAACUUCCCACAAAUGACAUAGUUUUGUAUAUCAAAAAAACCUAAGGAAAGCACACACAUACACACACACAUGCAUGCACAAUUAGAGCUAAUUAGCCAGUUCAGCAAUGUUGUGAGAUGCAAGAUUAAUAUACAAACAUUUUUAUAUUUAUACAGUAAUAAAGGGCAGUCCAAAAAAUGAAAUUAAGUAAACAGUUCUAUUUACAAUAGCAUCAAAAAGAAUAACUACUAUAGCAUCAAAAUAAUGACAAUAGCAUCAAAAUAGCAUCAAAAAGAAUAAACUACUUAGGUCUAAAUUUAACAAAAUGAAUUCAAGACUUGUACUCGAACAUAGAAAACUUGAAAUAAAUUAAGUAGGGCUACAUAAAUGGUAAGACAUACCACCAUAUUGGGUUGUAAGACUUAAUAUUAUUGAAAUGAAAAUAUUGUCCAUAUUGAUAUACAGAUUCAACACAAUCCCAUCAAAAUACCAGUUAGGUUUUUUUUACAGCUGACAAACUGAUCCUAAAAUUCAUAUGGAAAUACAAGAAACUCAGACUAGCCAACACAGACACAAAAAUAAAAAUCAAGCUGGAUGAUUCACAUGUCUCAUUUCAAAAUUUACUACGAAG
RNAcentral lists this long non-coding RNA (4582 nucleotides) under Heterocephalus glaber (naked mole-rat). RNAcentral's name for it is "lncRNA (ENSHGLG00100038056.1)". Lineage: Eukaryota; Metazoa; Chordata; Mammalia; Rodentia; Bathyergidae. The record is from RNAcentral.